RNAcentral lists this ribosomal RNA (611 nucleotides) under cyanobacterium CBW1115. RNAcentral's name for it is "bacterial SSU rRNA". It matches the Rfam family "Bacterial small subunit ribosomal RNA", at positions 146 to 785 of the family's 1533-position model. Lineage: Bacteria; Bacillati; Cyanobacteriota. The record is from RNAcentral.
ACAGAGGGAACUUCUGCUAAGACCCAAUAUGCCAGUUAGCUGGUGAAACAAUUUAUUGCCAAAUGAGGAGCUCGCGUCCGAUUAGUUAGUUGGUGGGGUAAGAGCCUACCAAGGCAGCGAUCGGUAGCUGGUCUGAGAGGAUGAGCAGCCACACUGGGACUGAGACACGGCCCAGACUCCUACGGGAGGCAGCAGUGGGGAAUUUUCCGCAAUGGGCGAAAGCCUGACGGAGCAAUACCGCGUGAGGGAGGAAGGCUUUUGGGUUGUAAACCUCUUUUAUUAAGGAAGAAGAAAGUGACGGUACUUAAUGAAUCAGCAUCGGCUAACUCCGUGCCAGCAGCCGCGGUAAUACGGAGGAUGCAAGCGUUAUCCGGAAUCAUUGGGCGUAAAGCGUCCGCAGGUGGUUGAUCGUGUCUGCUGUUAAAGACAGAAGCUCAACUUCUGAAAGGCAGUGGAAACUGGUGAACUAGAGUACGGUAGGGGUUGAGGGAAUUCCCAGUGUAGCGGUGAAAUGCGUAGAUAUUGGGAAGAACACCAGUGGCGAAGGCGCUCAACUGGGCCGUAACUGACACUCAGGGACGAAAGCUAGGGUAGCGAAAGGGAUUAGAUAC